CUCUCUCUUUCUUGCAGGAUGAGCUGAAUCGGCUUGACUUUGACAAAAACGAAGGAAACCCACCACUCCUAAACAGAGAACAGGAAAGUCAUGCGCCGAGUGAGAGUUGGAGCAGUGGGCCUCGACGAGGCUCGUGCAGUGUUCCAAAGAGCAAGAAAAGACCCACCAUCCCCCAAGGUGAGCUGAAUCGGCUUGACUUUGACAAAAAUGGAGGAAACCCACCACCCAUAGACAGAGAGCAGGAAACCUAUCCCCCAGCGUGAGAGUUGGAGGAGUGGGCCUCGACGAGUCUUGUGCACUGUUCCAAAGAGCAAGAUAAGACCCACCAUCCCCCAAGGUGAGCUGAAUCGGCUUGACUUUGACAAAAAUGGAGGAAACCCACCACCCAUAGACAGAGAGCAGGAAAGCCAUCCCCCAGCGUGAGAGUUGGAGGAGUGGGCCUUGACGAGACUUGUGCAGUGUUCCAAAGAGCAAGAUAAGACCCACCAUCCCCCAAGUGAGUGUUGGAUGACCAGUGGCUCGCUUUCUCUUGAGAGUGAGGGGAAUCGGCUUGACUCUACAAAAAGAGGACAGACCCACCAUCCCCCAAGUGAGUGUUGGAACCACCAGUGACUCUUUGCCUUUUCUCUCUUUCUCUUUCUUCUCUCUCCUUCUUACAGGGUGAGCUGAAUCGGCUUGACUUUGACAAAAAUGGAGGAAACCCACCACCCAUAGACAGAGAGCAGGAAACCUAUCCCCCAGCGUGAGAGUUGGAGGAGUGGGCCUCGACGAGUCUUGUGCACUGUUCCAAAGAGCAAGAUAAGACCCACCAUCCCCCAAGGUGAGCUGAAUCGGCUUGACUUUGACAAAAAUGAAGGAAACCCACCACCCCUAGACAGAGAGCAGGAAAGCCAUCCCCCAGCGUGAGAGUUGGAGGAGUGGGCCUCGACGAGUCUUGUGCACUGUUCCAAAGAGCAAGAUAAGACCCACCAUCCCCCAAGUGACUAUUGGUUGUACAGUGCCUCUCUUGAGAGUGAGGGGAAUCGGCUUGACUCUCUAAAAAAGGACAGACCCACCAUCCUCCAAGUGAGUGUUGGAACGACCAGUGACUCUUUGCCUAUUCUCUCUUUCUAACCCCCCCUUUCUUACAGGGUGAGCUGAAUCGGCUUGACUUUGACAAAAAUGGAGGAAACCCACCACCCCUAGACAGAGAGCAGGAAAGCCAUCCCCCAGCGUGAGAGUUGGAGGACUGGGCCUUGACGAGGCUUGUGCAGUGUUCCAAAGAGCAAGAUAAAACCCAGACCAGCGAAGUGUUGGAUGACCAGUGGCUCGCUUUCUCUUGAGAGUGAGGUGAAUCGGCUUGACUCUACAAAAAGAGGACAGACCCACCACCAC
Molecule: non-coding RNA, 1374 nt
Organism: Danio rerio (zebrafish)
Lineage: Eukaryota; Metazoa; Chordata; Actinopteri; Cypriniformes; Danionidae
Source: RefSeq, a predicted model, not a curated record